CUGUAGCUGCUGACGUUGUAGUGGUUGGGGACAUAUUUGUUGUCGUAAAAGCUACAGUUGUUGUUGUAGGUGCUGCUGUUGUGGUUGUCGUUGUAGGUGCUGCUGUUGUAGUGGUCGUAGUAUCUAAAGUUGUAGUAGGAGUAUCAGUUGCGGUUGUCGUAAGAGCUGCGUUUGUAGUGGUCGUAGUGGGUGCUUCUGUUGUAAUGGUCGUGGGAUCUAAAGUUGUAGUAGGAGCUGCAGUUGUGGUUGUCGUAGGAGCUGCAUUUGUAGUUGUUGUAGUAGGUGCUGCUGUUGUAGUGGACGUAGGAGCUACAGAUAUUGUAUUUGGAGCUGUGGUUGUGGUUGUCGUAGGAGCUUCAGUUGUCGUUGUUGUAGGAACUGCAUAUGUAGUGGUUGUAAGAGCUGCAGUGGUUGUUGAAGUAGGUGCUGCAGUUGUAGUCGUCAUAGGAGCUACAGAUGUUGUCGUAUGAGAUACAGCUGUGGUUGUCGUAGUAGGUGUUGUGGUUGUCGUAGUUGGUGUUGUAGUUGUCGUAGUAGGUGUUGUAGUUGUCGUUGUAGUUGUCGUUGUAGGCGCUGAAGUUGUGGUUGUCGUAGCAGCUUCAGUUGUAGUUGUCGUAGCAGGUGCUGCAGUUGUGGUUAUCGUAGGAGCUUCAGUUGUAGUUGUUGAAGUAGGUGCUGCAGUUGUAGUGGUUGUAAGAGCUACAGUUGUAGUAGGAGCUACAGUUAUUGUCAUAGGAGCUACAGUUGUUGUAGUAGGAGCUGCAGUUAUUGUUAUAGGAGCUACAGUUGUUGUCGUAGGAGCUGCAGUUGUCGUAGGAGCUGCAGUUGUCGUAGGAGCUUCAGUUGUGUUAACUGCAGUUGUGGUCGGAACUCCAUGGAUAUUCCAGCAUAAAA
RNAcentral lists this long non-coding RNA (894 nucleotides) under Salmo salar (Atlantic salmon). RNAcentral's name for it is "lncRNA (ENSSSAG00000097730.1)". The record is from RNAcentral. Lineage: Eukaryota; Metazoa; Chordata; Actinopteri; Salmoniformes; Salmonidae.